This 88-nucleotide transfer RNA is filed under the name bacterium. RNAcentral describes it as "tRNA-Leu". It matches the Rfam family "tRNA". Rfam says of the family: Transfer RNA (tRNA) molecules are approximately 80 nucleotides in length. Their secondary structure includes four short double-helical elements and three loops (D, anti-codon, and T loops). Further hydrogen bonds mediate the characteristic L-shaped molecular structure. tRNAs have two regions of fundamental functional importance: the anti-codon, which is responsible for specific mRNA codon recognition, and the 3' end, to which the tRNAs corresponding amino acid is attached (by aminoacyl-tRNA synthetases). tRNAs cope with the degeneracy of the genetic code in two manners: having more than one tRNA (with a specific anti-codon) for a particular amino acid; and 'wobble' base-pairing, i.e. permitting non-standard base-pairing at the 3rd anti-codon position. The record is from RNAcentral. RNAcentral also lists the same sequence under 1 other name.
GCCGGGGUGGUGAAAUUGGUAGACACGCUAGGUUGAGGGCCUAGUGGGCGCAUAGCCUGUACGGGUUCAAAUCCCGUCUCCGGCACCA